GGCAUUUUGGCUAUUAGUCUAGACUAUCCAUUUUCCGUUUUCCCUCUUCUCCUACCAUCACUAUGCAAGAGACGCUAGAUGCUACAGUAAAUGACGUCGAGCUGCCAGUCUUUCGAAUGAUCCAGAGGUGGUCAUGUUGAAAAUACCAAAUAUUCAACUAAAUUUAUAUACUAUCAGUGAUUCGAUAAAUACGUAAACAGAAUUGUAGUGUACGUGCAUUGAACAAAGUGUUUUGGCCAUCGACAUAGCUUUGGCUUGACCGAUUUGUACGUUUGCUCGAUUGAAAAAUCAACGCUGCCAAACAACUAGCUUGUGCGUCCGUCUUGAGCCGCCAUUCUUUGAUUUCAUCCCAAAUUUGGAUAAUUGUCAUCAAUCAACAUUGCGCAACGUUGUUAAAACAAGUAAACAGUACAAGACAACUAAGGUCAGGCUGCAUUUGUCAUCAUGGCUCAUUUUGGUGACAGUAUUAUAAAUGAAAAAAAACCUCUUGAGUUCGUGCAGGUUUUGCCGCAUAUUAAGCCAGUGGCACCGAUACUUAUAAAAACGUGGCCGACAGAAAUGAACCAUCGGAAUGAAAUUAUAAAUGCCUCAUUGAACAUAUUGACAAAUUCGCCACGUUGUAUUCGAGAAAUGCGUUUGUACUUGUCAAUACUCGGAGACGCGCUAAGGAAAUUUAGAUAUAAACAGAAGAAAGGGUUUUAUAGAGAAAUGACGACUAGUAAAGAGCUUCAAGAAUUAGAGAUAUCACUAGCAUUGUUGUUUAAUGAAAUGAAUGUGGCAUUUUAUCUUAAGAAACUGUUCGGAAACAACGGGGAAAAAAAACCUGACGAUUACGAGCUAGAGAGUGUAAUUGAUGAAGCGGUAAAUGAAGCUAAAAGAUGGAGAACGCAGUAUUUAGACAAGAUACGCAUAGAAACCAUUACUGCCCCGCAGGCUUCCACCAAUUCCCAAAACAAAGUAGCGUCAGGUAAAAAAAGCGAUUGUGACGUGAAUUCAGAAGAUGUGCUAUAUGAACAAAUCUUUGCGAUAAAGAAGCUUUUAAAGACAAUUAAGCCAGUGCCUCCAAUAUUACUAGAAACAUUUCCAAAAGAAAUGAGGUAUUACGAUGAUAACUUAAAUGUGUUGAAAGAUAUGUCUGAAAAGUUACAGGAUCAUUUACCUUACAAGAACGCACGGCGUUAUUUAUUAAUACGUUUAGAAAUGUGCCAGACGAAUAUAUCGGAUACAUUGACUAAGAUUGAAAAAGUAUACCCUAAAGAAGUAGAAGCACUCGCGAAUGAAUUUCCACAUUUUAAAUUAUCUCAUGACGUGCUGUUGGAAGAAGUUAGUAAGAUAUUGACAAAAAUACCGGAGUAAAUGCUAAAGCAACAGAGCAAAAUGAUGAUUAUUAGAAUAUUGAGUUGUUAUAAUCCAAUAAUUAAGUUUUCAUAGAUGAUUGUAGCACCUUCACGUACAAAAAAAGGGUGUCAGAGAAAAAGAAACAGAAAGUGCAUCACCUAAAUAUUUCGAAUCUUUUGCAACUCCACAACAUCAUUAAAUUGUAAAAUUGAUAGUUCAUUCUCAACUAGAAAAUUUCUAUAAAUGGCGCCGAAUAAACGUACAUUUUCAUGGAACGGUUAUACUAUAGCAUUUUUUUCACUUAUCGUUCAAUGACGCAAAAAUUGAAAAAAGUGCCCAUCAGCAAUAAUAAAGUACAGUGACAUAUUCAAUAUGUUGACGUAUCUUAAGUGUCACCUCGGUCAUAAUAUAUAGUUUACCUAACUUUGCUCAAUACUAAAUGAGCGCUUGAAAAUGUGCAAACUAGCUUUAAAUUGGUCAAAAGAGAACAAAAAAUAUAGUUGUCACAAAGAUCCAGAGACAAUUAGCGAGGAUUUAAUGAUUUUGAGAAGUUAUGUGGUGCUAAUUAACGAAAUAAAUGAUGUACUUCAGCGAUUAAAUGAUAUCCCAGAAACUCGAACUGAUCAGUAUCAGAUGCAGAGCAGUAUUAAAGGAACUAUAAAUUCG
Phymastichus coffea is the source of this 2004-nucleotide RNA transcript. RefSeq lists it as uncharacterized. The record is from RefSeq and is a predicted model, not a curated record. NCBI's taxonomy places the organism in Eukaryota, Metazoa, Arthropoda, Insecta, Hymenoptera, Eulophidae. The transcript has 7 exons.